Nicotiana tabacum (common tobacco) is the source of this 2432-nucleotide non-coding RNA. The record is from RefSeq and is a predicted model, not a curated record. Lineage: Eukaryota; Viridiplantae; Streptophyta; Magnoliopsida; Solanales; Solanaceae.
UUUGAAAACUGAUUUCCGUCUGCCUGUGUCCUAAUGAUCCAUGUGAAACCUGACCCUUUCUUUGUUUUAACUAUUUACUUAUUUAGAAACGGGAGUUGAGCUGCUCUUCGUCGUCCUGCUUCAGGGUUAUUUUUGGAAAUUUUCAUCCAUGCUUCGGGCUUAUUUUCGGAAAUCUUCCCUCUAAGUGGCUUAAAGUUGUUGUGGUGUACAUCUCUUUUGUUCAACACGUAAGCGCCAUCACGGUCUUCAGUUUCUCAUCUCACACCGUGCGCUCUCUCUCUCUUUCUCUCCUCUUUUUCUCUCUUUAGAUUCUUUGGGUAUAGAUCUCUCUAUUCCACUUCGUUUUCUCCCUAAGUUUGGAAUUAAAGAUGCAUAUUAUGGGCUGUUGAUUUUGUUCCUGGGUUUCUUUUGGUAUUCGAGAGGUCUGGUUGAUUUGAACCCAAGACGAAGUUGCUUCCACUAUAACUCUUCACAACAAAGCAAGACUGGAGAAGAUGACCAUUUGUGAUUGGCUAUUUGCCGCGUCUAUCAGGUGUUGGGGUGUACUUUGCUUUGUCAAACACGUGGAUUGGAGUCAGUGCUGGAUAUGUAUCUUCAAAGAGCGACGAGUGUAGGUCUGGUAAAACGUGGCUGCCAACGAAGUUGGACUCACUGUUUGUCUGCUCAUCCUCUUCCUCACUCUGUUUUGCGCAGUUCGAUUUUCUUUUUAUGGCUGCUGGGUGAUUUAUUUCUCUUACUCAUGUUGUUCCCCGUGUUGGCGCUGCUGAAACGUAAAAUUACGAGUUCUGUUGAGAAGGAGACUUGCUUUUGUUGGAAUGUCAUGUUCGUUUGGCUACUCGGCAUUUUAGUUCUACGAAGAUUCUAUGUCAUCCUCAACUUGUAGGUACUCUACUCGAGCUCUCAAAGGGCGAGGGAUGAAUCACUACUUUAAGCAAUUCAACUUUGCUCAUGGAAGCUUAGAUAUUAUAGUUGUGGAUACAUGAUUGUAUGAGGUUACUUCAAAUGAUGCUGGAGAUAGGCAAUCACAAUUGCUGAAAGACAUUUGAAAAUAGUGAAAGCAAAUGGUGCAUUGCUGUCGGAAUUCAUCUAUUGGUAGGUUGCGAAGAAGAUACUACUCUAACGGAACUAAAACACAAAUUACAGUCUUUACAUGGCGUAUUCCUGAAAUAUGGAGUGGUAAGUCAAAGUAUUAAUGCUAAUAGCCCAUAUCUCCAAGAACCUAAGGAAUACCUAAUACCAGCUGCCAUUUUCAUCUGCAAAUCUGUUUCUCAAUAUCCACAAAAUCUAAACAUAUCCCAAAGGCUUUGAUUUUGUAGGAAGAGCACAACACAUGGUGUACAUUAGGUGUACGUCACGGGUUCGAAUCUUGCUGAAGAUAAAAGCUCGGAUUUUAAGGGGAAAAGGGUAGAGGGACAUGGACAUUAUCUAAUGAGGUUCGAGCCGUGCGCCACUGACCAUCGGGAAUUUCUUAUUUAUAAAAGAAAUUUAAAAUUAGUGAGAUUUUAUCUCUUACUUGGGAAAUUGUGGUCAAGCCCUCCCUUUAUUUCUCGGAAUCUAGCGGGCAGCAAGAAUUAGAAUCAACCUAUAUAAUAUCUGUUCCCAUGUAGUCGGCAUUCUAGAAGCAAUCAGACAAGUUGGAGUUCUUACCUUCUUGGGACUCCAUGGACCAAGAUCUGCUUUUAUUAUAUGGUCAAUACCGAUCUACUUUAGUAGAUCAUAUGGAUGUAGAAAAAGCUUCUAAUUUUGGUUUUGCUUUUUCCUAUUUAGGAUGCAUAUAUAUAAGUGGACAUGAUUGUGUUGAUAAUGUUGAGAAAAGACCUAUUGCAAAAUCCAAAACUGAAACUGUCAGAUAUAAAGGACCUUUGCUGACUAAAGUGAAUCAGAACUUGCCCUACUCUAUGUGAGUAUUUCUCUUGAUAUUCAGUAGACUUUUGAGACUAAGUCUACCCUUUUUACUAUCAUUGUAUACAUAUUCUUUUCAUUAUUGGUUUUCUUGGGCAAAAUGUAACUGGGUUUAUACUUCACGAAGUCAGUGCUAUAAAGAUCGUGAGUAUCUUGCAUCUAGUUCAAUAUUUUACAUAAGCACCUUAUAUUAUGCUGUUGAUGUUAUAACAAUUAGUAUUUCUAGCAGGUAUCCUACUUAGUCACCUUGAAAGGUAAUGUUAUGCAGAAAAUUUUUCUCCAUCAAAGAGGCAAAGAGAUUAUGUAGAUAUACCGGGAAUAUUGAUGUUUGUAUUUGUUAUUGUCAUGAGGAGUGAAUAGAGAUCCAAUCAAUUAUUGGUGAUGAAUCCAACUUUUUUCCCUUCUUUGGAGUAAGGGAGGGGGGAUGGGGCGGGAGGGGAAGAGAAGGGACCAAAAAAGUGAAUUCAUUCGUGAUAGUUGUAGUAGUAAUCAUUUGAUCUGACUAAUAAAACUUUUUGAUUUUAAUCAAU